AACAAGAAAGCAAAUAAGAUACUGAAGUAGUUGGCUCAUUUGGGCUGCUGAUUUCUUUGGUGCGAGGAUACAAGUGAGUUGGCUUCCAUUCGGACGUCUACGAUGAGACGAUGGACAGGGUGAAAGGCCUCGGCGUUGAUACCGAUAUCACUGGUGGUGGCAGAAUACAGCACGACCCCAGUGCCAACGUCAUCAAAGUGUACAGCUACUCACAGGGGUUUGGGAAGGCAGACCACAGCAACACUGUAGAAAUUCUGAAGACUGCAUAUCCUGUUUACAACAUUACUUGGAGUGAUGAAGGAUACUGAUCUGCUCAGGUUGUAAUAUUUGACAUUGCAGCUUUUGAAAAUGGAGCAGGAUGUUGUGCCCUCUUUCCUAU
Molecule: long non-coding RNA, 379 nt
Filed under: Schistocerca americana (American grasshopper)
Lineage: Eukaryota; Metazoa; Arthropoda; Insecta; Orthoptera; Acrididae
Description: uncharacterized LOC124583211, transcript variant X1
Source: RNAcentral